This 304-nucleotide unclassified non-coding RNA is filed under the name uncultured fungus. Its description in RNAcentral is "partial contains 5.8S ribosomal RNA, internal transcribed spacer 2, and large subunit ribosomal RNA". The stretch from base 1 to 52 matches the Rfam family "5.8S ribosomal RNA", at positions 103 to 154 of the family's 154-position model. The record is from RNAcentral. Lineage: Eukaryota; Fungi.
AACGCACCUUGCGCUCCUUGGUAUUCCGAGGAGCAUGCCUGUUUGAGUGUCAUUGAAUUCUCAACCAUGUCUUGAUGUCGUCGAGCGCAUGGCUUGGAUGUGGGGGUUGCUGGCGGCGCGAGCUGUCGGCUCUCCUUAAAUGCAUUAGCAAAGGGCGAGCCUUUCGUGCACGGCCUUCGACGUGAUAAUGAUCGUCGUGGCUGGAGCGGAAGGCAUGAAUCGUCGUUGCUUCUAAUCUCUGAUCCUUUUGGGAUCGCUUUCGAAACUUGACCUCAAAUCAGGUAGGACUACCCGCUGAACUUAA